GGCCUCGUAGCUUAGCUGGUAGAGCACUGGCGGUACUAAAGCGAGGGUGGUGACCGUGCGUGGGUUCGAAUCCCGCCGAGGCCG
RNAcentral lists this transfer RNA (84 nucleotides) under Fasciola hepatica (liver fluke). It matches the Rfam family "tRNA". From Rfam's summary of the family: Transfer RNA (tRNA) molecules are approximately 80 nucleotides in length. Lineage: Eukaryota; Metazoa; Platyhelminthes; Trematoda; Plagiorchiida; Fasciolidae. The record is from Rfam by way of RNAcentral.